This is a non-coding RNA of Schistocephalus solidus, 82 nucleotides long. The record is from Rfam. NCBI's taxonomy places the organism in Eukaryota, Metazoa, Platyhelminthes, Cestoda, Diphyllobothriidea, Diphyllobothriidae.
GGCCUCGUAGUUCAGUUGGCUAGAGCGUUGGCUGUACUAAAGCUUUCCCUUGCUGGCGUGGGUUCGAAUCCUAUCCAGGCCG